RNAcentral lists this ribosomal RNA (484 nucleotides) under uncultured Glomeromycotina. RNAcentral's name for it is "eukaryotic LSU rRNA". The stretch from base 142 to 286 matches the Rfam family "5.8S ribosomal RNA". The record is from RNAcentral. Lineage: Eukaryota; Fungi; Glomeromycota.
AAUCUUUGUCUUGCAUAGGUGUAGGUGGGCAGGUCUGUGGCCUGUCUGCCUACUCACUAGCAGACACAUAUGCACAGGGCCGCAAGGCUCUGAUGUUUACGCUUGUUUGUUUGACAGAUUUAUAUGUGACUAAAACUUGACAACUUUUAACAAUGGAUCUCUUGGCUCUUGCAACGAUGAAGAACGCAGUAAAGUGCGAUAUGUAGUGCGAUUUGCAUGAAUCUGUGAGUCAUCUAAUCUUUGAACGCAACUUGCGCCUCUCUGAGGCAUGUCUGUUUGAGUGCCGCAUACAUCAAUGCAGCAAUGCGAUUUGACUGUUGUCCCCGGACUCGGUCUAAACGUAGCCAGAUAGUGGCCUGAGUAGGCUAGCCCGAGUGAUAAGCAUUCUGUGAGGUAGUCUAGGUGGGCUGCCCAAUAUCUAUCUAUUUGGCCUCAAAUCAGGCAAGACUACCCGCUGAGCUUAAGCAUAUCAAUAAGCCGUGGA